ACAUGAUAACAGUUUUCAAGUAUAUAAGAGGUUGUUACAAAGAGGAGGGAGAAAAAAUGUACUCCUUAGCCUCUGAAGAUAGGACAAGAAGCAAUGGGCUUAAGUUGCAGCAAGGGCAGUUUAGGUUACAAUUUGUCAGGGUAUUUAAACACUGGUAUAAAUUACCUAGGAGGUUGUGGAACCUCCAUAAUUGAAGAUUUUUAAGAGCAGGUUAGACAAACGUGCCAGUGUGGGUCUAGGUAAUACUUAGUGCUGCAAUGAAUGCAUGGGACUGGACUAGACCUCUCUCUGGAGGUCCUUCCAGUCCUACAAUUCUAUGAUGGAAGUUCACACAUCAGGACUAUUAUUUCAGGCUGCCUGCAGACCAAGGCAGACAACACUUUGGAAGGCUACCUUUGUUAACCAUGAGGACUAGAAAUCUUAUUUAAAAAACAGUUUAGAUUUGGGAGAAUCUGACUCUGCCCCUGCAUUCACAAAUGUGUCAAAAGGGCAAUGUGUUUAACACUUCAGUGACUCUUAAGUAAAUUAAGUCCUGAUGUCUCCAAGAAACAAAAUAGAGCUUGUUUUAUCUUGGACUCCGUAUGAUCUUCAGAGAAUGUGGUCAGGAGAAAGUCAAGACUCUGGAGAAGGCUAGGUGCAGAGAGAGGCUCCUCUGAGAAUGGAACAUGAGGUCCCUUUAGGGUGACCAGACUCCCAAUAUUAGGGGCUUCAUCUUAUAAAGGCAACUAUGCCUCCCUCCAAAAAAGUGUCUCAAUAUUUUGUACUUGCUAUCUGGUCACCCUAGGGCCCUUGCAGCAAGAGCUGGGACGAUUCUGGGAAUGGAAUAAGAAGCCCUCUGUAGGAGGUCAGGUAUGAUGCUGAGACUUGGCUUAUUUAUUUUACAAGAACAUCAUAAUAGUAAAGCCAAAAAUACAAUUGUAUGCCUGCCUCUUUAGGGGGAAGAGCUGUGGCUCAAGCAAAUAUUUAAGAGUCUUCACUCUUCCAAGAUUUUGAAAAUGACACCUACUUCAAGCCUUAUGUCCAUUUCUAUUCUAGGAACCGGGUGGUACCUGGAUCCUCAAGCACUUGGAGCCAUUCUCUCUGGAAUUAACUUGAUUAUCACACUGAGUUCCAUGGACUACUGUAAUUCUCCCAGAACACUUCUAAAAGACCCAUGGAGCUGCUGCUUUUAUCCUGGUGGAGUAACUGGUCAGUCUUAAACAGUGAUGCUUCCUGUCUAAAGGUUUAUAAAGCUUUUUUUAAUAUAGGUAACUCAGAACAAGGCUGCUUUCUAACUUUGUAUUAGAUGCUUAUAUUUGUGUAAAUUCAAUCAUACUUAGAUUUUUGAGGCAAGAACCUUACCCCAUUUUGAUGACGUAGCAAACAUGUAAGAGGACAAAAUCAAACUGCAAACUGACCUGGAGAGAUUAGAGCAGUGGAGUUUUCAGGAAAUUAUGGGAGGUUUACUAUUAACAACUGUGAUGUCCAGGGAAAAGAAAUAACCAGCUUAGAUACAUAAUUAAACAAUCAUAUCCAUUUCAGGUUUCAGAGUAGCAGCCGUGUUAGUCUGUAUUCGCAAAAAGAAAAGGAGUACUUGUGGCACCUUAGAGACUAACAAAUUUAUUUGAGCAUAAGCUUUCGUGAGCUACAGCUCACUUCAUCGGAUGUAUCCGAUGAAGUGAGCUGUAAGCUCACGAAAGCUUAUGCUCAAAUAAAUUUGUUAGUCUCUAAGGUGCCGCAAGAUAUCCAUUUCAGUGAUUUGAGUUUGUUUUCGUUAUGUUGUCUUUCGUAUUGCUCUGUUAUUACUUUUCUGUGUACCCAAGGAGUCUAGUUACUGCAGAAGAGAUGUGGGCCCAGGAGGGGAAAUGUCCACAAGAAAAUCUCAAUCUUUAAAAAUGUUUCCCAAUAUAAAAAAGUUUGAGAAGAACUGGGUUAUAGGGCAAACACAUUGAAAAUAAUAUUCUGCCUUAUAAAAUUAAAUGUUUUUUAAUAUGGGACUGAUAUGUGGCUCUUAAGGGAUUUUAGCAAGUGUAGCCCUAAGAAAAAAAAUGAUGUUUUUCUGUGUGAUAAAUUUUACCCAGUCCGAGCAUCUUCUUUGCUCUUACUCCUUUUGUUACCCAGAUGCUUGCAUCAGCACUAUACCAUAUAAUCAUUAUUACUGUAUUCCAGAGAUGUGGUCCAAACCACAUCUUUCAUUAAUGUCUCUACAAUGUUUUGGGCCAUUACUAUAGAAUACCUUACUGUUACUUAUAGCUCAUUGUAAUCCUGAAAGUGAAUAAUUUUGGAGAAAUCAGUAAAAUUCCAACUAUCCAUUUUUAAAAAAUUUUCACUAAUUAACAGUUUUUAGACACUUUUUUUAAUGUGGAAUUCUCAAAAAUAGUUUUAUUUUGAAAUCUGAAAUCUGAUUAGGCAUCUUUGAGGAUGUCAUGCUUUGCUAUUUUACAAUAAAAUGGUUGAGAAAUAAAUUAUAAAUGAGUGAAAAUAUAGCAUGCAUCUCUGUAAUUUUUCUUGCUAAUUUAAGUGUGCAAGAAUGGUUAUCCUGGUAAACAUCUUGUUUUUGUGUGCUGUUUCAAAGAUCACACAUCAAAAUAAAAACGUAUUUGAAAGUGUGAUCUCAUGUACUUGUGAUAAAAUAAAAAUAACUACUGAGUGGUUUCAUGUGUGGUCAUUGGUUUGUAAUAGAUCAUCAUUUCUGUAAAUAAGAAUAUAUUGUCAUGUUAGGUGAAUAUACAUGAUUAAAUAAAAAAUAGGUAGUUUGUAUGCUCAAUAGUUUUUAUUUAAAAGCAAUUAAAUUAAAUACAUAAUAGUAUGUUAAUGUAACAUGAUACUUGAGAUUUUAAUUCAAAAAAGGCAAGGACAUUUAAAGUUAUGUUACUGAUUUAUUUAGAGUUAUAAAAAAAUAAAAACAGGGCACUGCCCAAGGUUUUAGCUCCCCUGCCAUAAAUUACAAAAACAUAUAAUAAUAAACCACUUGCAGAACAAACUCUCUCCUACCAUUCUGAUUUCUCUCAAAUCUUUUAGCAAUGUUAUAUAUAUAUAUAUUUAUCAGCUUUGAAAAUUAUCAUGAAUAUUCAGUAACUCUUUGAUCUCAACAAGAAUAAUUAGGUUAGUAAAGACUAGUUGUGCAAGUAAGGGUUUGCAGGUUCAGGCCCUAUUAUGAAAGCCUGUGCAGAGUUUUGCAAUGCUGACAUAAAGUAAUGAAGAUAACACCAUAUGAAGUAAUGGAAAAUACUAGUGAGACAAGUUAUGAUUGCUGUAGGAACAAUGAAUAUGGAUUUCCUGAUUUACAUACAUUUAGCAUUUCAACCUUAAUGUAUUUGCC
Molecule: long non-coding RNA, 3301 nt
Organism: Dermochelys coriacea (leatherback sea turtle)
Lineage: Eukaryota; Metazoa; Chordata; Testudines; Dermochelyidae
Exons: 3
Source: RefSeq, a predicted model, not a curated record